This 425-nucleotide ribosomal RNA is filed under the name uncultured bacterium. RNAcentral's name for it is "partial 16S ribosomal RNA". It matches the Rfam family "Bacterial small subunit ribosomal RNA", at positions 354 to 796 of the family's 1533-position model. The record is from RNAcentral.
GUUAGGAAUAUUGGACAAUGGGCGAAAGCCUGAUCCAGCCAUGCCGCGUGAACGAUGAAGGCCUUCGGGUUGUAAAGUUCUUUAGCCGAUGAUUAUAAUGACUGUAGUCGGAAAAUAAGCCCCGGCUAACUUCGUGCCAGCAGCCGCGGUAAUACGAAGGGGGCGAGCGUUAUUCGGAAUCACUGGGCGUAAAGCGUGCGUAGGCGGUUUUGUAAGUUAGGAGUGAAAGCCCAGGGCUCAACCUUGGAAUGGCGCUUAAAACUGCAAGGCUCGAAUCUCGGAGAGGAUAGCGGAAUUUCCAGUGUAGCAGUGAAAUGCGUAGAUAUUGGAAGGAACACCAGUGGCGUAAGCGGCUAUCUGGACGAGUAUUGACGCUGAGGCACGAAAGCGUGGGGAUCAAACAGGAUUAGAAACCCGGGUAGUCC